UACGUAGGGUGCAAGCGUUAAUCGGAAUUACUGGGCGUAAAGCGUGCGCAGGCGGUGAUGUAAGACAGAUGUGAAAUCCCCGGGCUCAACCUGGGAACUGCAUUUGUGACUGCAUCGCUGGAGUGCGGCAGAGGGGGAUGGAAUUCCGCGUGUAGCAGUGAAAUGCGUAGAUAUGCGGAGGAACACCGAUGGCGAAGGCAAUCCCCUGGGCCUGCACUGACGCUCAUGCACGAAAGCGUGGGGAGCAAACCGG
This 253-nucleotide ribosomal RNA is filed under the name uncultured bacterium. RNAcentral describes it as "partial 16S ribosomal RNA". It matches the Rfam family "Bacterial small subunit ribosomal RNA", at positions 524 to 776 of the family's 1533-position model. The record is from RNAcentral.